Molecule: long non-coding RNA, 2314 nt
Filed under: Homo sapiens (human)
Lineage: Eukaryota; Metazoa; Chordata; Mammalia; Primates; Hominidae
Description: HSALNT0262461
Source: RNAcentral
AAAUACCAUACACUGGGCAACUUACAAAUAACAGAAAUUUAUUGCUGACAAUUCUGGAGGCUGGGAAGUCCAAGAUCAAGCUGCCAGCAGCGUUGGUGCCUGGUGAGAGCUGCUUCCUGGGUCACAGACAGCACGUUGGUGCUGUGUCUUCACAUGGCAGAAGGGGCAAGGGAACUCUCUGGGGCCUCUUUCCUAAGGACACUAAUCCCAUUCAUGAAGGCCCCACCCUCAUGACCUCAUCACCUCCUAACAUAACCUCCUAAUACCAUCACCUUGGGAUUGGGUUUCAGCACAUGAAUUUGGGAGGAUGCAGUGUUCAGUAGAGAGCAUAAGGGGCACUCGCCCAAGCAACCAGAGGUAGCCAGAAUUCUCAAGGGAAGAGAGCGCCUGCCCUGGAAAUCAGCCCUCAUUCCUGAGACACGGGGUCACAGGGGACACAGUGAAACAGGGUACUGGGCCCCAUUGCAGGGCACGUGGACAGCCGUCUGCUCUGAGGGGAGUCAGGCAGCAUCAGCCUCACAGGACCCAUGCCCCUUCCUGGACCCCUGGACCCCGUUGAAAGGAAACGGCCCAGCGUUGAGGCCAGGAGCCAGGGCAGCUUUGGCCUUGUCACCAGAAACUCUGAGUCCCAGGGUCAGGUCUUUUGCUCUGGAGCCGUGGUUCUCAACUAGGGGAGCUGGUUUCACCCCGUGUUUGUUUUCUAUGGCCGCCGUCAACAAAUGACACAGCCUUGGUGGCUGAAACAACACAAGUGAUUUUCGUACAGUCCUGGAGGUCAGAAGUCCCACAUGGUCUCUGCAGGCUAACAGGGUGCCUGGAGGGCUGCACCUGGAGGCUCUCUGGCAGAGACUGUUUCCUUGUGUGUUCCAGUUCCUAGGCGCUCUGGUUAAGGCCCGUUCCUCCAUCUUCAAAGCCAGUGACGCCAUAUAUCCCUCUGACUGACCUUAGCUGGGAAAAGGUGACUCAGUGGGACCUGCACAGAUACUCCAAGAUAAUCCCCCAACUCGUGGUCCCUCACCUUCCCCACAGCACAGGAUCUCUUCUGCUGCAUCAAGAAACAUAGUCACAAGUUCUCGGUAUUUGCAUGUGGACAUCUUUGGAGGGGGCCGUUAUUCAGCCUAGCCCAACCCCCUAGGGACAUUUAGUAAUGUCUGGAGACAUUUUUCCUCCCCUCAACUGGGGAAAACAGGGGGAUGCCAAUGGCCUCUUGUAGGUGGAGGCCAGGGAUGCUGUAAAACACCCUACAAUUCACAGAACAGCCCCCCACGACAGCUGGGUCCCAAAUGGCAGUCGUGCUGAGGUGCAGAAACCCUCUUUUCUCAUGGUUGCUAGGGGCAACCGGAAAGCAAAUUAGGUCCACUGGACCCCGUUGCCGAGGAAAGCUGGCCUCAGCAACCAGGGGUCUCAAAACGGGCACACCCUGGAAGAUGUAGGACUAACAGGCACCCUGGGGGGCUCAGCCACCAUCUCAUAAAGGAGAAUGGGGUGGGGGGUGCAGGCCUCCGAGUCACCGUGGUUGCUAUGACAAGCCCCCCAGUUUUUGUUUUUGUUUUUUUGAGACAGAAUCUCCCUCUGUCGCUCAGGCUGGAGUGCAGUGGCGCGAUCUCAGCUCACUGCAACUUCCACCUCCCGGGUUUCAAAUGAUUCUCCCGCCUCAGCCUGUCGAGUAGCUGGGAUUACAGGUGCGUGCCACCACACCCGGCUAAUUUUUGUAUUUUUAGUAGAGACGGGGUUUCACCAUGUUGGCCAGGCUGGUCUCAAACUCCUGACCUCAAGUGAUCUGCCUGCCUCAGCCUCCCAAAAUGCUGGGAUUACAGGCAUGAGCCACUGCGCCCGGCCCACUCAGUUUCUCUUAAAAGAAAAACGAGGUCUCCGCCACGGGACCUCAGGUAACAUCCUAGGCCCCAUGGAAAUUGCUGGAGACCACCCAGCAACCAGUGUUUCCACCUCAGUCCCCAAGAGGAGGUGGCCUCAGGACCCAGGAGACAGUGACCUGAGUCAGGCUGGCCCAGCAUGAGGGGCCUGAGACCCCCCCGACUCCACCAGUAGGCUCCCUUGAGCCCAGUUCCAUGGAACAUUUCUCCCUAACAACCAGGGUAGGAGAGAGUCGGGGGGCCCCUCUUGCUGUGAACGUUGAGCACCGUCCUGGCAGGCUGUUUCCUAGCGAACAGUAUCAUAACCAGAAUCUGAGAGUCUCCUAAAGUCAGGCCCGGCCCAGGCCCCCUUGGACUAACCUGGCCCCAGGGUUGCAGGGGGCAUAGGGUGCAGCCCCCGUCCUAGGGGAGUCAGGCCUUGCCACUUGGGGUGUGUCCUC